ACUUGAUUUAUUACUAAUUUAUCAAGAUUUAGUUCAACUCUAAAUUAGAUUUGGUG
This 56-nucleotide transfer RNA is filed under the name Oncicola luehei. RNAcentral describes it as "tRNA-Asn". Lineage: Eukaryota; Metazoa; Acanthocephala; Archiacanthocephala; Oligacanthorhynchida; Oligacanthorhynchidae. The record is from RNAcentral.